ACAGAGGUCCCAAGCGUUGUUCGGAUUCACUGGGCGUAAAGGGUGCGUAGGUGGUCAGGUAAGUUUGGUGUGAAAUCUCCGAGCUCAACUCGGAAACGGCACUAAAAACUACUUGGCUGGAGGGUCGGAAGGGAGGCUGGAAUUCUCGGUGUAGCAGUGAAAUGCGUAGAUAUCGAGAGGAACACCAGUGGCGAAAGCGAGUCUCUGGACGACUCCUGACACUGAGGCGCGAAAGCUAGGGGAGCAAACAG
Molecule: ribosomal RNA, 251 nt
Filed under: uncultured prokaryote
Description: partial 16S rRNA
Rfam family: Bacterial small subunit ribosomal RNA
Source: RNAcentral